CAGGACGUAAUUCAAAUAGUAGAAUAGUUCCCUUACACUGAGACAGCACCCGUGCAAAUCGAGUCGCCCUGA
This 72-nucleotide transfer RNA is filed under the name Scorpaenopsis macrochir. Its description in RNAcentral is "tRNA-Val". It matches the Rfam family "tRNA". From Rfam's summary of the family: Transfer RNA (tRNA) molecules are approximately 80 nucleotides in length. Their secondary structure includes four short double-helical elements and three loops (D, anti-codon, and T loops). The record is from RNAcentral. Lineage: Eukaryota; Metazoa; Chordata; Actinopteri; Perciformes; Scorpaenidae.